AGCCUGAACGCUGGCGGCGUGGCUAAGACAUGCAAGUCGAACGGGUCCCGAGCAAUCGGGAUCAGUGGCGGACGGGUGAGUAAUGUAUCGCUAACGUGCCGCGGAGCCUGGGAUAGCCGGCCGAAAGGCCGGGUAAUACCAGAUGAGACCACGGGCAGGCAUCUGCCAGUGCUCAAAGUCCCGAGCAAUCGGGACACUC
Molecule: ribosomal RNA, 199 nt
Filed under: uncultured bacterium
Lineage: Bacteria
Description: partial small subunit ribosomal RNA
Rfam family: Bacterial small subunit ribosomal RNA
Source: RNAcentral